Bos taurus (domestic cattle) is the source of this 1962-nucleotide long non-coding RNA. The record is from Ensembl. NCBI's taxonomy places the organism in Eukaryota, Metazoa, Chordata, Mammalia, Artiodactyla, Bovidae.
AUCUAGUCAGUUUCAAUAGAUAAAAUGUCCAUUGACUGGUGAGUGAAUAAACAAAAUGUAUAUCCCUACAGUGGAAUGCUGUUCAGCUAUUUAAAGGAAUGAAGUACCGAUACAACUUAUUGCAGAAAGUACUGCUACAACAUGGACGAAUCUCAAAAACACUAUGCUAAAGGAGCCAGUCACAAAGCAGCACGGAGGUGAAGGAGAUUUGCACACACACAGAAAAUGUUCCGAGAAGGUGGUGAGAAGAUGAAGCAGAGAUUUGAAGAUGCUGACUUUGAAGACUUGAGUGAUACAGUCACUAGCUGCAGGAUGUUGGCACCACCAGAAGCUGAAGGAGGCAUGGACCAGCUUCUUUCCUAUAGUCUCUGAAGAUGCUGUAGCCCUGCUAAUACCUUGAUCUUGGUUCAGUGAUACUGACUUCAGACUCCUGGCCUCCAGGACUGCGAGAGAAUACAAGUCUACUGUUUUAAGUCACCACAUUUGCAGUAAUAGGAGUAAUAGGAAACUUAUUCAGGGUGUGACUGCUCAUGGCCAUGGGUGAUGAAAUGUUCUGAAACUGGAUUGUGGUGAUGGUUGCACAACUCAGUGAAUAUCCCUAAAACCACUGGAGUGCACACUCUAAGUGUGUCAAUUUUAUACUGUGUGAAUUAUAUCUCAAUAAGACUGUUAAAAAAUCUUUGUGACCUUGGGUUAAGCAAAGAUUUCUUAGAUACAACACCAAGGUAUGAUACAUAAAAAGUGAUAUAUUGGAGACUCCAUAAAAAUUUACAACCCUUGCUCUUGAAAGACACUAUUAAGAAAAUAAGAACCACAGAUUGGGAAAAAUAUUUGCAAAACACAUGUUUGAUACAAGACCUAUCAGGCUAUAUGAAGAGUCCUCAAACUCAAUAAGAAGAAAACAAACAAAUAAAAAAUGAAGAUUUGAACAGACUCUAUCUCAAAGCAGAUAUAUUGAUGGCAAAUAGGUACAACAAAAGAUACUCAGUAUCAUUAGUUAUUAGAGAAAUGCAAAAUAAAACCACAACAAAUACUACUACAUGCUAUUAGAAUGGGGCGCGGGGAGAACAACACUUGAUUAUAUCAUAAUGCUAUGAAGGAUAGGGGAGCAACUGGAAGAUCACCGGUAGAAAUGCAGAAUGGUGCAGCCACAUUGGGAAACAAUUAGUUUUUUUAAAAAUUAAAUACAAUCUUACAAUAGAACCCAGGAAUCCUGCUCUAGGUAUUUGCCCAAUUGAAACAUAAGCCCUAUUUCACAAAACCCUGUGUGUAAAUAUUUGUAGUAGUUUUAUUUGGAAUAAUCCCAAACUGGAAACCAAAUCUUAUUAUCCCUGAACUGGGAGGGAUAUGCAUAAGCAAUUAUGAUACAUCCAUACAGUAGGAUCCUGCUUUGCAAUAAAAAGAAACAAAGUAUUGAUAUGUUCAACAACACACAACAUCUCAAGUGCCUUAUACGAAGUGAAAGAAGCCAACUAAUAGGCUACACAUUGGAGGAAAAGAAACCCUCCAACUCUGUUGGUGGGAAUGUAAGUUGGUGCAGCCACAAUGGAAAAUGGUAUGGAAGUUCCUCAGAAAACUAAAUAUAGAGUUGUUAUAUGAUCCAGCAAUGCCACUCCUAGGCAUAUAUGUGGACAAAGCUGUAAUUCAAAAAGAUACACGCACUCCUAUGUUCAUGAGCAUCCCUAUUCACAAUAGCCAAGACAUGGAAGCAACCUAAAUGUCAAUUAUCAGAUGAAUGGAUAAAGGAGAUGAGAUACAUAUAUAAAUAGAAUACUACUCAAUUUAAAAAGAAUGAAAUAACGCCAUUUUCAGGAACACAGAUGGAACCAGAGAUUAUUAUGCUAAGUGAAAUCAAUCAGAAAGAGAAAGAUGAAUACCAUGCGAUAUCAUUUGUAUGUGGAAUCUACAAUAUGACAGAAAUUAACUUAUCAACAAAAUAGAAACAGAUUCACAGACAUGGAG